Long non-coding RNA from Neopelma chrysocephalum (saffron-crested tyrant-manakin), 115 nucleotides. RefSeq lists it as uncharacterized. Lineage: Eukaryota; Metazoa; Chordata; Aves; Passeriformes; Pipridae. The record is from RefSeq and is a predicted model, not a curated record. The transcript is spliced from 2 exons.
GCUCGGAGCCGGGGGAAAACAAACAAUAAUAACGCCAAGCGCAGCUGCCGAAGCCUUCGGGUUCAAAGUGUUUCUGCCCCUACCAGCAAAAACAGAUGCAGGCUUUUUCUGGCCA